UCACAAAGGAGAGAGAUGAACAGAAAGAGCACAUGGGACUUUAAGAGUGAAAUACUCUAUAUGAUAUUAUAAUGAUGAAUCUAGGUCAUUAUACAGUUGCCCAAACCCAAAGAAUAUAUACCACAACGAUUGAAUCCUAAAGGCAGCAAAAUCAUCAGGAGAGUCAGAAGGAACACUUGUGACCACACCAGUGCCUUAUAAAAUAAAGUAUGGAAUGAAUCAA
This is a long non-coding RNA of Hyaena hyaena (striped hyena), 223 nucleotides long. RefSeq lists it as uncharacterized. The transcript is spliced from 2 exons. The record is from RefSeq and is a predicted model, not a curated record. Lineage: Eukaryota; Metazoa; Chordata; Mammalia; Carnivora; Hyaenidae.